Molecule: ribosomal RNA, 427 nt
Filed under: uncultured bacterium
Lineage: Bacteria
Description: partial 16S ribosomal RNA
Rfam family: Bacterial small subunit ribosomal RNA
Source: RNAcentral
UGGGGAAUAUUGCACAAUGGGCGCAAGCCUGAUGCAGCCAUGCCGCGUGUAUGAAGAAGGCCUUCGGGUUGUAAAGUACUUUCAGCGAGGAGGAAGGUGUUGUGGUUAAUAACCGCAGCAAUUGACGUUACUCGCAGAAGAAGCACCGGCUAACUCCGUGCCAGCAGCCGCGGUAAUACGGAGGGUGCAAGCGUUAAUCGGAAUUACUGGGCGUAAAGCGCACGCAGGCGGUCUGUCAAGUCGGAUGUGAAAGCCCCGGGCUCAACCUGGGAACUGCAUCCGAAACUGGCAGGCUAGAGUCUUGUAGAGGGGGGUAGAAUUCCAGGUGUAGCGGUGAAAUGCGUAGAGAUCUGGAGGAAUACCGGUGGCGAAGGCGGCCCCCUGGACAAAGACUGACGCUCAGGUGCGAAAGCGUGGGGAGCAAACA